This 212-nucleotide long non-coding RNA is filed under the name Brassica napus (rape). Its description in RNAcentral is "long non-coding RNA (BNAP_LNC003155)". The record is from RNAcentral. Lineage: Eukaryota; Viridiplantae; Streptophyta; Magnoliopsida; Brassicales; Brassicaceae.
AAUAUCAGUUAAGGUCUACUUACUACCAUUUCGAACUAACUAGUAUUUCUAUUAAAGCAAAAAAAAAGAGAGUAAAACAAAAUAGAUAAUGUAGAGACUAUAAAUAGGAUCGAGAAGAACUUUAAACCACUUUCAAUCAUGAACUACUCGCCUUCUCAAACUUUUAAAACUCAUCAUAAAUAAUAAAGUCUAUUUCUCUUUCCUUUUAAACC